RNAcentral lists this ribosomal RNA (400 nucleotides) under uncultured bacterium. Its description in RNAcentral is "bacterial SSU rRNA". It matches the Rfam family "Bacterial small subunit ribosomal RNA", at positions 355 to 771 of the family's 1533-position model. The record is from RNAcentral.
UGAGGAAUAUUGCACAAUGGGCGAAAGCCUGAUGCAGCAACGCCGCGUGAGGGACGAAGGCCUUCGGGUUGUAAACCUCUUUUCUGAGGGACGAGCAAGGACGGUACCUCAGGAAUAAGUCUCGGCUAACUACGUGCCAGCAGCCGCGGUAAAACGUAGGAGGCGAGCGUUAUCCGGAUUUACUGGGCGUAAAGCGCACGCAGGUGGCUGUGUAAGUCGGACAUGAAAGCUCCUGGCUUAACUGGGAGAGGUGGUUCGAAACUGCAUGGCUUGAGGUUGGGAGAGGGACGUGGAAUUCCCGGUGUAGUGGUGGAAUGCGUAGAUAUCGGGAGGAACACCAGUGGCGCAAGCGGCGUCCUGGCCCACACCUGACGCUGAGGUGCGAAAGCGUGGGGAGCAA